GAUCAAUGCCUGUGUUUGGGCUCCAGGCCCAGCCUCUAGCCACCUCUGGCCUGGAAUUGUGUCCCAAAUGGGCACCAAACAGUCCCUGUUUAUUCGUCCUGUUGUGGGCUCAGGGCCCCAGGAGUCACUUAGCCCUUCCUCUUUCAAUUCUUGGCGCAAAAGAUGAGAAGAUGACAAGAAGUGGGCGUUUCUUAAACUCUGCACCCAGGCCUGCUGCUUCCUGGACCAACUCUUCCAUGGCCCUGGGUGUCACCCAGUGUUUCUGGAGCCUCUGAGUGGUGCCCGCUGCCUGGCAGCAGCCCCUGGAGGUGGUCAAAGUGUCUACAAUUCCAUCACCAGAUCUUCCAUUUCCAGGAGUAACCCUGGGCAGGUGUAUACCAUGUGUCUUGUUUACAGUGGGGAUUAAUAGUUCAAGGAGCCCAAGACUUGAGGUACAGUCAUCCUAUGAAGGACCAGAGCUGGAAAGUGGGGGCCUGGCUCAGGGAGCAGCAGAACCAGAGCAGAAGCUGAGCUGGAGAUGCCCUGAUGGGGCCGAGGUGGAGGCUCAGGCCUGGGAUGGGCAGUUGGACCAGCAGGUCCAAAACAGCAGAAGCCAAGGCAAGCAGCAGUCUUGGAGAUGCCCUCUGACCUGCCAUGGACUGGAGCCUCUAAGAUGCUUCCUCCUGAGGCUGGAGCUGAUGACUGGCAUCCUUGGGAUGUAACCUGCGUGCAGCUGGCAGAUUCAACAAAUAUUCACGCUGGAAUGGGAUGCAGAAGUCACCUACUUUCAGAGAUGGGGACACUGAGACCCAGAGAGGGCACAGCCUUUUCUCGGGGGCCUCCAGUGACUCAGAGUCAAAUCUGUGCUUCUUGGCUCCUGGAUCUCUGAGCUGCACCCACUGGACCCCUACGCCCACCCCAGCACCCCUGUUCUCCAUGGCGGCCCCGCCCUGAGGAUUUCCUAUGCCUUUUCACAGAGCUUUCUCCUUCUCCUAGAUCGCUUUUCUGCAAAAUGAGGCUGGGGAGUUCUGAGCCAAGCCCAGGCCCACGUGCCUGGAACCAGAGACAGCAUAAGGAGCAGACACUGCCAGGUCACUUGCAGCAGACUCCAGGAGGAAACGAGGGAAACAGAACCUCUGCCGUAGCCUAGCCAGGGCUCUCAGAGCCUAGAAAGCUCUUAGGAGAAGUGGAGAGUUGUUCAGAUCCAGGCUAAUUUGUCAUCUCCAGCCCUUCUCUGGUGAUCAGCUUGCCUCUUCCUCUACCUGCCCCUGUAGCCUCCUGCAUCUUCUCCUCCCUUUUCUGUCACAUGCCUUCUGCUUCUUGCAGCCUCUGCCUCAUUGUGGUUUCUCUUGCUGUCCAGUUCUGGUGAGCUCAUGGCUUCUGUAGCCCAGUUUCUCUUUGCUUCCCUUUGUGAAUCUUUCCUGCUUCGACUCUCACUCCCAAAUUCUUAACUUACACUCAAUGCCCCCAGAGGGAGGACUUGAUUGGUUUGGAAGUCCUCCACCAGGACAGGCCAAGGAUUAAGUGAGUUCUUAUAUGAGGUCUCUGAUUCCCUAACUCCAGCUAGGUGUUCACUUAUUCAGUUCAAUUCUGACACCAACUCCAGGAGUUAGUGCAGACCCCAAGGUUUAGGGCUCAGCCCCACAGGGCUGUCCCCCUUUAGCCACCAGUCACACACAAGUCCAGGGACCAUCUGUACAUCUGACUGCCUGGCUCUGAAUUUCAGGGUUCCCAUAACCUCCCCUUCUAGUUAGAUAAUUCACUAGAACAUUUCACAAAACUCAGGAAAGUGCUUUACUUACUAUUACCGGUGGAUUAUAAACGAUACUACUCAAGAACAGACUCAUGGAAGAGAUGCAGGGAACAAAACAUGGGGGAUUUGCACAAAGCUUCCACGCCCUCCCAGCGAGUCCCUGUGUUCACCAGCCCUGAAGCUCCCAAACUCUGUUGUUUAGGGGUUUUUCUUGCAGUUUCAUUAUGGUGGAUUAAAUCGUUGGCCAUUGGCGAUUGAAUUCAAUCUCCAGCCCGUCUUGCCCCCAUGGAGGCUGUGGGGGCUGUGGGGGUAACCAGCCCUCAUCAUGAAGCUCUCUAGGGCUCCUCCAUAAGUCAUCUCAUUAGCAUAUAAAAGGCAAUAUGUUCAAGGGUUUUAGGUGCUCUGUGCCAGGAAUUAGAGACCAAGACCAAAUAUUUAUAUUUUAUACCACACCAGGCCACUUCUCAGCCCACUGGCCAACUUCAAGAUUGACUGCUGUUAGGUCACAAUACCCACUUGGCCAGGGUUAGAGAUCACUCAGUAUCAUGUGUGGUGUAAGCUGUUGAGAUUGGGCAUAGACACUGGCAGGUGACUGACGGGCUGGACAACUGACAGAUGCUCACCUUGGCCAGUGUAGGCACAGAUAGGGCAGGACCCCAUUCGUUUAAGUGUUCCAUCUUCAGAAAUCCCCUCUUCCCCACUUCUUCCUUCUCUUCAUUCCUUCUUUGCUAUUUUUAAAUGGCACAUUGGAAAUAAAACAAUUGUCAACAUAUUCAGCCCUCCCACAGCGGGCUGCCAAUCAGCACAGUCCAGCCUACGUCCGCUUCCGUUCCCUCCACCUUAGCCCUCACCUCCCUCUUUGCUCUUGCCCCCCUCCCCAGGCACUCAGGUCUCUGUUAGUUUCUCAACAGCUUUGCAUAUGCUGUUCCCUCUGUUUGGAAUGAAUGCUCUUCCCCAUCUCCCACCCCUGGCUGGCUUUUCCUGGCUACCCAGUCUGAAUGAUGCGCUCCUCUUACAUAUGUGCCCUGUGUGUUUCUUUACUGAUGCUUGUCAGCCUGCUGAUCGACUUAUUUGCACAAACAUUUAAUAAAUCACUGGACCGUCUGCUGUAAGCGGGCAGAGAUCGGAUCUGUUUUGUCUUGCUCAGUACUGUGCAAUAACACCUAGAACAGGCCUGGCUCGGUACAUAGCUAUUGAAUAAGUGAGUGAAUGGAUGAAUGUCAUUGAAUCAGAGAUGAUUAUGAUUCACAAAGGCUUAUAUGUAUGAGCGAAUUUGAAAAAAUAGAAACAACUUGAAUAUUCAAUAAUAGCCAAUUAAAAAUAUAUUAUAGUAACCUACAAUGGAAUUUGCAUGGCAAUUAAAAUCAUAAUUUAAAAGCAUAUCCAUGACCAACAGCAUUAGUCAUUAGGCAAAUGCAAAUCAAAACCAUGAUGAAUUGCCACUUUACACUCACUAGGAUGGCUGUAACUUUUAAAAAAGGGAAAAUAACUGUUUUUGGUGAGGAUGUGGAGAAAUUGGAAGUGGAUGUGGAGUCUGGCAGUUCCUCGAAAAACUAAACAUAGAUUUAUCAUAGGGGCCGGGCACGGUGGCUCAUGUCUGUAAUCCCAGCACUUUGGGAGUUAUGAGGCAGGUGGAUCACCUGAGGUCAGGAGUUCGAGACCAGCCUGACCAAGAUGGUGAAACCCCAUCUCUACUAAAAAUACAAAAAUUAGCCAGGUGUGGUGGCACGUGCCCAUAAUCCCAGCUACUCAGGAGGCUGAGGCAGGAGAAUUGCUUGAACCCGGGAGGCAGAGGUUGCAAUGAGCCAAGAUGGCGCCACUGCACUCCAGCCUGUGCAACAGAGCCAGACUCCAUCUCAAAAAGAGAAAAAAAUAAAAAAUAUUGACCACA
Gorilla gorilla gorilla (western lowland gorilla) is the source of this 3623-nucleotide long non-coding RNA. RefSeq lists it as uncharacterized. Lineage: Eukaryota; Metazoa; Chordata; Mammalia; Primates; Hominidae. The record is from RefSeq and is a predicted model, not a curated record. The transcript has 5 exons.